GAGAAUUGCUUGAACCUGGGAGGCGGAGGUUGCAGUGAGCCGAGAUUGCAACAUGGCACUCCAGCCUGGCAACAAGAGCGAAACUCCAUCGCAAAAAAAGAAAAAAAGAAGUGGUGAAGGCAGUAUCUUACCUUAUGAAGAAAGCUUUCAAUCUUUCACCAUUGUGUAUGAUGUUACGUAUGAGUUUUUCAUAUAGACAGGGUCUUACUCUGUUACCGAAGCUGGUCUUGAACUCCUGGACUCAAGCAGUCCUCCUGCCUCUGUUUCCCAAAGGUUGCUCUUUUUUUUCUUAUUCCUUAAGGUAUAUAUUUAGGUUAUUAAUUGGAGACUUUUUUUUUUUGAGAUGGAGUGUCGCUCUGUCGCCUAGGCUGGAGUGCAGUCCCACAAUCUCGGCUCAUUGCAACCUCUACCCCCCUGCUUCAAGCCUCCUACUUCCUACCUCAGCCUCCCGAGUAGCU
RNAcentral lists this long non-coding RNA (458 nucleotides) under Homo sapiens (human). RNAcentral's name for it is "HSALNT0407821". Lineage: Eukaryota; Metazoa; Chordata; Mammalia; Primates; Hominidae. The record is from RNAcentral.